GGAUUACAAGGCCUUAGAUAUGUUAACGUGGGAAUUUAGAAAGCGGGAACAUCAAUUUUCACAUCAAGGAAAACAGGAUUUUUCCCCUAGCUAACGCCCAAAGCUAAUUUAAGGGGGACAACCUAAAGAAAUAACUCUAAGAUAAGCCAUCCCAACUGCCGUAGGGAGCUCUUCCCCAUAUUGGCGCCCUGCAGGCGGCCCGCGAAAUCACCUAGUGAUUCUUGGUCCAUUUAGAGGAAGGUAAAAGGUCGUAACAAAGGUUUUCCGUAGGUGAACCUGCGGAAGGAUCAUUACCCGUUUGUCUUUCGACAAAACCACUGUGAAUUUGUACUGAGCCGGUGGGGUAACGUUCUACGUUUUAAAUGACUCAGGUCGGCCCCACUUGUGCAACCAAGUAUGUUGUUCUUUCAACACACUGUAUAGCCUGUAUUACUUUAUGCUACGGUAUGAAGUGAAAACGAAACGUGACAACUUCUAACGGUGGAUCUCUUGGCUCGUGCAUCGAUGAAGAACGUAGCCAGUUGCGAUAAGUAGUGUGAAUUGCAGAAUUCAGUGAAUCAUCGAAUCUUUGAACGCAAAUUGCGCUCUCUGGAUAUCCAGGGAGCAUGCCUGUCUGAGCGUCGUUUAACAAUCUACACACAAUUUGUGUGGAAAGAUCAUUCAUGCUUCAAUGUGUGUCGAUCUAUGGAUUUGAACCGUGUGGUACUCCUUUGUGUACUGCUUGGAAGGCUCAACUUGCUUCUGUCCUUCUCUGCAGUGUCAUGAUGUGUGUAUAACGUGUUCUCUUUCGACCUAGUCGAAAAUUCUUACUUUUGACCUCAGAUCAGACAAGACUACCCGCUGAAUUUAAGCAUAUCAAUAAGCGGAGGAA
Molecule: ribosomal RNA, 871 nt
Filed under: uncultured eukaryote
Lineage: Eukaryota
Description: eukaryotic LSU rRNA
Rfam family: 5.8S ribosomal RNA (bases 470-623)
Source: RNAcentral